Molecule: ribosomal RNA, 757 nt
Filed under: Megapulvinaria beihaiensis
Lineage: Eukaryota; Metazoa; Arthropoda; Insecta; Hemiptera; Coccidae
Description: partial large subunit ribosomal RNA
Rfam family: Eukaryotic large subunit ribosomal RNA
Source: RNAcentral
AACCGUUCGGGGGUAAACGGACAGAGCCCGUGAAUCCGGGCGCGCGGAAUUCGGGACCGAUCGGCGGGUCGGUCGAUUCGAUAUUUCCGCCGCCGACCGNUAACUGGUGCGGACGUCGCGACCCGUUCGCCGUGGGUCUGACGAGACGCGUUUCAAGUUCGUCCGCGCGUUCGCCUUCGCGGGUGGCGAUGGCGCGUAACUCGGGCCCUUUGGCGGACGGUAGCUACAGCGCGGGUUAUCGACGUCGCCACAUUCGGGGUCCGUCGGUGCGCGCAUUAAGUACGUCGACGCCGGUCAGCGACGAAUCUUCGGGCCUCUUUCCGACCCGUCUUGAAACACGGACCAAGGAGUCUAACGUGCGCGCGAGUCGCGGGGUAUUCGAGCCGUAACGCAGCUCGUUAUAAUACGAAACCCGUAUACGUACGUUGUGCGAAGGCGUAAUGAAAGUGAGGUAGCCCUCUUUAUUGGUGACCGGGGAAGAUGGUGUUCCGAGUACACGUUUCUCGGUCGUACGUAUCCGAGACCGGACACCCGCAUUCCCAGGGCGUCCCGUACGUCCGUCGGAGGCGCGGAUCUGGGUCGGCUUUCGACGAACUGGGGCGCACCUCUAGCGUGCACGUUGGUACCCGAAAGAUGGUGAACUAUGCCCGGCCAGGAUGAAGUCAGGGGAAACCCUGAUGGAGGUCCGCAGCGAUUCUGACGUGCAAAUCGAUCGUCUGAGCUGGGUAUAGGGGCGAAAGACUAAUCGAACCAUCUA